RNAcentral lists this small nuclear RNA (19 nucleotides) under Arabidopsis thaliana (thale cress). RNAcentral's name for it is "snRNA_10262". The record is from RNAcentral. Lineage: Eukaryota; Viridiplantae; Streptophyta; Magnoliopsida; Brassicales; Brassicaceae.
AGCAAUCCAGCAGUUGACA